This 674-nucleotide ribosomal RNA is filed under the name Streptomyces sp. 11CM31. RNAcentral describes it as "bacterial SSU rRNA". It matches the Rfam family "Bacterial small subunit ribosomal RNA", at positions 124 to 812 of the family's 1533-position model. Lineage: Bacteria; Bacillati; Actinomycetota; Actinomycetes; Kitasatosporales; Streptomycetaceae. The record is from RNAcentral.
AUCUGCCCUUCACUCUGGGACAAGCCCUGGAAACGGGGUCUAAUACCGGAUAACACUCUGUCCCGCAUGGGACGGGGUUAAAAGCUCCGGCGGUGAAGGAUGAGCCCGCGGCCUAUCAGCUUGUUGGUGGGGUAAUGGCCUACCAAGGCGACGACGGGUAGCCGGCCUGAGAGGGCGACCGGCCACACUGGGACUGAGACACGGCCCAGACUCCUACGGGAGGCAGCAGUGGGGAAUAUUGCACAAUGGGCGAAAGCCUGAUGCAGCGACGCCGCGUGAGGGAUGACGGCCUUCGGGUUGUAAACCUCUUUCAGCAGGGAAGAAGCGAAAGUGACGGUACCUGCAGAAGAAGCGCCGGCUAACUACGUGCCAGCAGCCGCGGUAAUACGUAGGGCGCAAGCGUUGUCCGGAAUUAUUGGGCGUAAAGAGCUCGUAGGCGGCUUGUCACGUCGGAUGUGAAAGCCCGGGGCUUAACCCCGGGUCUGCAUUCGAUACGGGCUAGCUAGAGUGUGGUAGGGGAGAUCGGAAUUCCUGGUGUAGCGGUGAAAUGCGCAGAUAUCAGGAGGAACACCGGUGGCGAAGGCGGAUCUCUGGGCCAUUACUGACGCUGAGGAGCGAAAGCGUGGGGAGCGAACAGGAUUAGAUACCCUGGUAGUCCACGCCGUAAACGUUGG